Molecule: small RNA, 300 nt
Filed under: Rouxiella silvae
Lineage: Bacteria; Pseudomonadati; Pseudomonadota; Gammaproteobacteria; Enterobacterales; Yersiniaceae
Description: ryfA RNA
Rfam family: ryfA RNA
About the family: This family consists of a number of bacterial RNA genes of 305 bases in length. The ryfA RNA gene is present in E. coli, Shigella flexneri and Salmonella species where it is found between the ydaN and dbpA genes.
Source: RNAcentral
GCGGGCCUUUUCGCCGCCUUAAGCAAGUGGGCAUCGGAUUUUGAAAAGGAUAUCCAACGGCCGUAAAUGCAAGCACGUUCCAGUGCUUGUUUCACGGUGGUAUCUCCGGUGGUAUUCCCGUGAAGCGGUCUGAGCAAGGACCGCGCAAUGAAACGAUACCUCGGUAUUGUUCUUAUUGUAUUGGCUGUCGUGUUGAGUGCCGGGAAGGGGAGUUGGAAUAUUUCUAAUAACUCUCUCAAAGUGAUCAUCACUACCACCAACAAGUAAGCUAAAUAGCCACCCAAUUGGGUGGCUAUUUUU